AAUUAAAUGGGUUAACCCAUUUAACAACUCAACCCAUCAAAUAAAAUGGGUUGGGUCAACCCAUAACUCAUUUAACCCUAAACUCAUUUGAUUAUGAGUUGAGUUGAGUUGGGUUACCCAUUUUGACACCUCUAGUUCGGAUAUAAACUAAACAAUUGUGUUCUGAAUUGAACCGAUUGUUUUCGGGUUAACUGAACAUUAUUUACAUAGAAUAGCUAAACCCAAAAAAAUUAAAAUUUCACGACAAUAUACAAGCCCAUUAAUAUAUUAAUGAUUCGCCUAAAUAGGCUGUUGUAAGAUAUAAAAUUAAGUUUUAAUCUGUAGUAUUUGAAUACGGAAAAAAUCAAUAGUAUUUGAAUUUUGAAUUUUGAA
RNAcentral lists this small RNA (372 nucleotides) under Arabidopsis thaliana (thale cress). RNAcentral describes it as "ATSL155080". Lineage: Eukaryota; Viridiplantae; Streptophyta; Magnoliopsida; Brassicales; Brassicaceae. The record is from RNAcentral.